ACAGGAGCAAACAAUCUACAACCUUGUGAAAUACAUAUGAUUAAAUAUAUAUGUGACUGAUGAUUUUAUCUCAGUCCCUUAGUUAUUUAAUUUUUCGUAGAAAUGCUGAUGGCCGUAUGGUUUCUGUUUGUCACUAGGUCACAAAAUUUGGAAAACUACUGUGAAUCAACUCUUUGUACCUAAUGAGGCUGAAACUGAGAAAGGAAAUAUGUGAUGUUGGUCUCUGAAA
This 229-nucleotide unclassified non-coding RNA is filed under the name Hevea brasiliensis (rubber tree). Lineage: Eukaryota; Viridiplantae; Streptophyta; Magnoliopsida; Malpighiales; Euphorbiaceae. The record is from RNAcentral.